This 373-nucleotide ribosomal RNA is filed under the name uncultured organism. RNAcentral's name for it is "bacterial SSU rRNA". It matches the Rfam family "Bacterial small subunit ribosomal RNA", at positions 527 to 896 of the family's 1533-position model. The record is from RNAcentral.
GUAGGGGCCAAGCGUUGUCCGGAUUUAUUGGGCGUAAAGAGCUCGUAGGCGGUUCGGUAAGUCAGCUGUGAAAUCUCCGCGCUCAACGCGGAGGGGUCAGCUGAUACUGCCGUGACUUGAGUCUGGUAGGGGAGUGCGGAAUUCCCGGUGUAGCGGUGAAAUGCGCAGAUAUCGGGAGGAACACCAGUGGCGAAGGCGGCACUCUGGGCCAGUACUGACGCUGAGGAGCGAAAGCGUGGGGAGCGAACAGGAUUAGAUACCCUGGUAGUCCACGCCGUAAACGUUGGGCACUAGGUGUGGGAACCUAUCGACGGUUUCCGUGCCGUAGCUAACGCAUUAAGUGCCCCGCCUGGGGAGUACGGCCGCAAGGCUA